GUAAAUUCACCAAAGACGUCACCGUGGAGUUAUUGGAGAGCGAGCUUACGGGUCCAUGACGAUGACUUCUGUUUUGUUUGAUCAGCCGUUUUACUGCCGUGACACAGACACCGUUUGGAAACAACUAAGGCCACUUACAUCCUGGUUGCCCAUAUCCCAGUAGGGCCUCUCCCCGUAGGACAUGACCUCCCACAUGACGAUACCAAAGCUCCAGACAUCUGAAGCCGAGGAGAAGCGGUGAUACUGGAUGGCCUCUGGAGCGGUCCACAGCACCACGCUCUUCCCUCCGUGCUAGAGAGGACAGCAUAGUAGUAAGAAGAAUCGGCCUGCUGACUGACAAGGCGGACAUCGAUUACCGUGACGCAAACAGAGCAGAGACAAGGCGAUAUCACGACUGUCAACACACUUGCAUUUUUGUAUAAUAAUAUAUUGUGUUUAACUGAAGCUGUCAAGAUUGCCC
Molecule: long non-coding RNA, 460 nt
Organism: Nerophis lumbriciformis (worm pipefish)
Lineage: Eukaryota; Metazoa; Chordata; Actinopteri; Syngnathiformes; Syngnathidae
Source: RefSeq, a predicted model, not a curated record